GCAGAGAGCGUUGUCAUGGAAACAGAGCAACGACACGACACCUGCCCGUCAACAGCACUUCUCUCAUGCGGCAGUUUUCACUAAUUUCAGAAGUGACGAAAUUACCCCUACGACAGAAGAAAAGAGCCAAGAUGGGGAGCUAAUCACAGAGCUGGAGGAAACACAGAUUUUGGAUCGUCCUCCACUCACUCUACCACUUUGUUUUUCCUUGCCAGAUUUCAUUCAAGAAGCCUGCUACAAGAGAGACAGCGGAAGGGAGCCUCCAAGACAUUUUUAUUAGGAUCUGCUAAUCAUGAGGGGGCAGACAAAAGAACCUGCAUUUUCCUUCAGCUUAAUAUCAGGGGUCGCCACAGCGUAAGGAACUGGAUAUUACUUUGGCAUAUGUUUUACACAGC
Molecule: non-coding RNA, 395 nt
Organism: Danio rerio (zebrafish)
Lineage: Eukaryota; Metazoa; Chordata; Actinopteri; Cypriniformes; Danionidae
Source: Ensembl